Saccostrea echinata is the source of this 345-nucleotide long non-coding RNA. RefSeq lists it as uncharacterized. The transcript has 3 exons. Lineage: Eukaryota; Metazoa; Mollusca; Bivalvia; Ostreida; Ostreidae. The record is from RefSeq and is a predicted model, not a curated record.
UGUAAUUGUCACAAAAUAAACUAUGUGCCCACUGCAAAAAGUCAUUCCAACAAUAUAUGGGAUGUAAACUCAAAAUUAGGUGCAGCAAUGAUAUUCUGUGGUAUUGGGGAGAGUGUUGUCAACAAUUUAUUGGCUGCAUUGAACCUUCCUAGCUAAACCCCAACCACCCUAAAGAGAAGGGAACGAGAGGCAGGAUCUGCAUUUGAAGCAGUUGCCAGUAAAACGUGUAGUGAUGCAAUUGCGGCUGAAAGUAGAAGCUGUCAAAGUCAAGAUGACCAGGCUGUUUCCUUUGAUGCUGGCUGGUAAACCAGGGGAAGUGGUAGGAACUAUGCUAGCUUAUCUGGU